Molecule: non-coding RNA, 4923 nt
Organism: Peromyscus maniculatus bairdii (prairie deer mouse)
Lineage: Eukaryota; Metazoa; Chordata; Mammalia; Rodentia; Cricetidae
Source: RefSeq, a predicted model, not a curated record
GGACCGCUGCAGCCGGGGCAGGGGGCAGGGCGAAGUCCCGGGAGCUGGGGAGGAGUGGUCUGCAGGAAGUGGCAGGGCUCCUGAAGAAGAGCAUAGAGCAGGAAGCAACCUCCUGGCAGCGGAGGUUGGUAGACCGUGGAAGGAAACAUGGCAUUGGGGCCCGGACUCGGAAGCAAGGUGAUGGGGACGCAGAGAAAGAGGGGUUAGGCUGGCUGAAGACUGUGUCUUGAGAGCAGCAGGACGGGUGGAAACGGCUUGUGGACCACACACCACAGGUGUUCAGGAAGAGGGGAGGUGGCCGGCAACAGCAGAUGCACCUGGGACCUGGGACCUGGGAGCCAUGCGAUGCUACGGGAGCCAGAGAGUGAGAAACCGGAGAGAUGAGCGGCAGAGACUUGGGCUCCUGGCUGAAGACCUACUGUGAAGGUAUGUGGAGUUGACUGGCUCUGGGAAAAAGCUGUUGGCUAGUGGAGGCGACAAAGGGAGACUUCUGGGCACUUCGCAGAGCUGCAGUCCUAGCUGGUCGGAGGAUCACGACUACUUGGCCUAAGACCCGAAGAGACCCCAGGGCAGAAGCCAUUUCCUGCCUACCCCAAAUGAUGGUGACUCCAACUUCCCCUCACAUCUGGCGAUGAUCUGCCUCAGUUUCGAAAGCAAGCCAAAGGGGUCUCUCACUGAAUCUGGAACUCACUGCUGAGCAAGACUAGUUGGCCAGUGACCCCAGUGGACCCUUCUGUCCCUGCCUCUGCAGAGCUGGGACUACAGGCAUAUACCACCAUGCCCUGCUCUACAUGGGCGCCUGGAACAUGCCUGUGCGACAGGGACUUUACUAACAGCCCUGGCCUCGGGCUCUUAGCCAGGCAGCUGUCUUAGUUCAGAGAAUGAGGACAAGGGGACCGUCCCGGUGUUUGCAGUGACAGUGCAGGCUCCUGAGUGAGGUGGACAAGCCACUUCAGCCAUCAGCACGGCUCUGGCCCCUGCGCACUUGCCUGGGUAGUAGCGGCAGCAGGCUGCAGGUAGUCGCUGGGACUGACGGCAGCAGUGGCAGCCAUGCUCAUCUGUGGAUCUGCUGGGAGGAAGAUGGAGCAGUACGUAAGACCCCUGGAGAGGACCCCAGGCCCCUUGCCCCGGCUUUUCUUUUGGCCUCUCUUGCUGUUUCUCUGAGAAGUUUAACAGCUCGAGCAUCACAGCCCGUGCCUGUCAGGGGCGACGUCUCCUUUGCUCACAAUCUAUUUGGGCCAGGCCUGCCUUCACCACAUUGUCCCCACAGCUGGGACACUCCAGGACAGAAAGAAGGCAGUCUGUCUCAAGACUGGCUGUGGCUCCUGAAAUACUUCUUUAGUCUAAGACCACCGUAAGUGCUCUCCUGUGGUCACCAAGAGCUUUAUGUGGCCCCUGGGCUGCGACCUGGUCCAUCAAAACAGAACCAUUUCUCUGCAGAACUACAGACUUCUACUCUGGAAAGAGAGAGAGAAGGGAAAAGAGCAGCACUUCCAGCUGGUGUGUGGAAAGGAAAGUGGUUAAGAAGAGGGCACACCCGUAACCGUAGUUCUCUGCGCAGCCUCAUUUAAUGUGGAAGCUCGUGUUUAAAAUGUGUAAUGCUUACCUCUCCCUCCAUGCUACUCAAAGCACUGCUAAGUGGGAGACGAGGGCGCAGAGGGACUCGUGGAGGUAAAACUUCCCUAAGUCUCUAGGCUGACGUCAGCAGAGAUCGAUGAUGCAAGCAUAGACCAGUACACCUCAGCCCUAAGGAAAAGUCCGGAGGGGUUGGACAAAGCAGCAGGAGGAAGGAGUAUCCGGUGACAGAGGGACCAGAACAGAACCCCAAGACUGACAGAAAAGCACCUCGCUUCCAGACUCUCACCAUCACCUUCCCCCUCCUCGGCUAAACUUGGUCCCCUCCACGUCUCCGUCCAGCCCAUUCUCGGCGGGCUCGUCUACCCAGGUCACCAGAGACCCCUUGGCUUCUACAGCAACAAACCUCUCGAUGGUUGCCUCCCCUUGUAAACUCCCGUGGGCUCCUCUUCCUUUGCCACCACUUAAAUGCAGGCAUUCUUCAACAAGGGUCCCUCCUCCUCACCCAGGAUCCCUUCCUUGGGGGUCAGUGUCCACUUACAGAGCUUCAGACAGUGUCGCAGAGGUUGACACUCCCAGGUAUGGGUCAGCUCCGCCCCCUAUGGGCCUUCAUCAGGCCAGCCAGACACUCCCAACCUGAGCGUUCCCUCCAGGCUUGUUCUUCUUUCUCCUCCCCAGCCUCCACAGGCCUGCCUGCCUGUAAGAAGCAGGGGCUUAUCUCCGCUGCCCUUCCCUUGCUCAGGGCUUUUCUGUCGUUUCAAGCAAAUGCUUUGACAGCCAUCUUGUAACACGUAUAGCCUGUCCAUGGGGUCCUUUUCCGGACUGAGAUGAAGUCAAGUCCUUUGCUAGCAUUCAGCACCCCUUACAGCGAUCGUGGGCCUAAGGUAUGGGGGCAAGGCCCUGCUCUUCAGUAAGCAGGGUCUGUACCCAGCUGCUGCUCCCAGACCCCGGUACAGGGGCAACUGCAGUUCCUGGGGAGAGGGGAAGAGCACAGGAAUCUUUGGAAUGUAGCUUCUUUCUGGCAGGUCCACUCACAGCAGAGCCCUGCACAUCCACCUCCUGCUGGGGAGCUAGGUCCUGGGGACUCCUCUCCUCCAUAGAAGUCUCCUCCUCACUAGUCCCAUGGCCCUGGUCCUGGUUUCAAUCACCCUCCCUCAGCCUGAACUCCCACCCACAGCCUCCAGGGCAGCUUCCAGCCUCUGGCCCUCUCUCCCCCUUUACCUAGUCAGAACACUUCUGGAAGACUACCUCUGUGAACAGAAUCCUACGCAGCCACUCCCCUGGCUACACCCUCCCAGUUUCCGAAAGCUCUUUGGAUAAGUUUAGAGGAACCAAGCACUGAGCCUCCUCCCUGUCCCUCCCUCCUCCCUGUCCCUUCCUCCUCUCUCGCAUUCUUUCUCUUCCUGGGAGCCUGAGGCCUGGGCUCCCCCUUUGGCGUUUCUAACCUCUAGAGGUUGUUUCUGUUACUCUAGAAGCAGAUGACCUUGCCGGGUGCCCGAGUACACUCCCCGUGGCACCCUUGGCAAUGCUGGCCUCACCACAGGGUAGGGAGUGUAGCUCUAUCCCGGGGCAGGGGGUGUCUGUCUUCCUCUGGCAGACUGGCUUGGGACAGCAUGAUCUAACAGGAAGGACCCUAGAGCCCUGGUUAUCAGGCUGUCCCAGGCUAGAAGAGGCUCAAAGUCCACACCAGACCCUAGGCUGUUGGUUUUUGGUUUGUUUUUUUAAACCUUCACAGCUAUGGCUUCCUUGGCCCUCUACUAUGGCACUCCCAGCAGGAACCUCACUCUGUGCAAACAGUCCUUCUGGUGGCUAUUCUGGUCAGUCUGACUGGGCCAGAAGCCAGUAAAGCAGUUUCCAAGGCCAGGCUUCCCCGUUGCUUAGCCUGGAAGAAUUCAGAGCUGGAAAGAGAAAAGCGAACCACGGCUGGUUUUCUAGAACAAAACUGGACCUCCGGGGAAAGCGGCGAGUCAGCCUGUUAAAAGUGGGGGGAGCAAGCUUGGCUGUGCCAGGUCCAAACUGCCAGGACCACUCAACACCCAGCAGCCACAACACAGGACAAGGCCGCUCAUGCCUGGCCCUGCAGAGCAGCUCUGGGGAGAGGAUGCUAAUGCCACAGGCCAAAGGGAAGAACAGAGAUCUUCUCCACCCUCGCUCCGACCCCAACUGAGCAUGACCCUGAGAUGGACACUCGACGUUAUCAAGAAGUUACACUUCCUUUCUGAGCUGCGAUUCCUAACCUCUUCUCUCAAACAAAACUCCUCAGUCACCGUGUGCAGACAGCUCCUUACUUCUGUGGUUCAACUUAACACGUUUUUUUCACAUUUCAAUCAUACUUUAUUGGUAUAUACACGUGUGCACAUUUGUGUAUGGCUACACACCUGCCAUGGCUAACAUGUGGAGGUUCUCUCCUGCCAUCAUGUGGGUCCUGGCGAUUGAACUCAGGUUGUCAGACUAACCCUGACAUGACAGGCACUGGGCAAACACCUCCAAGCACUGAGCUAACCUGUAGGCCUCCAACUGAACUUUCCAACGUGAUAUAGUACAUGAAAGCAUACUCAUAAUUAUGUUUUCUACUUUUAGUAUAGUACUCAAUAAGUUACAUGGUAGUCAACAUUUCAUUAAAAAAAAUUAACUUUGUGCCGGGAGGUGGUGGCAAAGCAACACAGAAACCCUGUCUCAAAAAAAAAAAAAAAAGAAAAGAAAAAAACUUGUGGUAAAUGAUUUUGUCCAACUCUCAGCAAACCCAAGAGGUCUUUCUUUUUUGAGACAGGUUGUACUCAUGUAGUCCAGGUUCAAAUUCACUAUGGCGCCAAGGUUGACCUUGAACUCAUGAUCCUCCUGUCUCCACCUCUAGAGUGCUGUGAAUACGGAUGUGCCUGACUAUGCCCUAGUCCCCCCACCCCCAUACCUUUGUUUUCCAGACAGUGUUUCUCUGUGUAGCCCUGGCUGUCCCGGAACUCACUCUGUAGGCCAGGCUGCCUAGAACUCAGAGAUCCGCCCGCUUCUGCUUUCCCAGUGCUGGGAUUAAAGGCCUGGGCCACAGCUGGAGGAGUUCCUGCAGAUUUCUGCAGAUGUUUUGAUUCCGGGAGUGUUAGCACCUAACUUUGACUACCUGCCUUUUGUGAUUGCUACCUCCUGUCUCCAGAACCUUCUGCUUGAAGUCUUAUCUGAGAGUUUCCUAGGGGUUCAAAGCCCACGCAGAACUUGGUUGUGGGAGGACUGGAUAUCUUUUAACUGAGAAUUUGCAUUUGGCACUGUCCCUUUGGGGGGACUUAGAGGUUUUGGUAUAGGAACUGACUUGUUAAAGGUGUGAAUUGUAUAACAAUAAAAGGUCUUUGCUAAGCUACA